UAAAAUGAAUAUACUAGAGGCUCUAAAGAGCCUGUGUCGCUCACCUUGGUCUAUGUGAAUAUUAAAGGAAGCAGAUGGAUUCAUGACAAAUUGUGUUUUUGGGUGAUGGUGAUGUGUUUGUACAUCUUACUUUACUGAACAUUCUUGCUGCUUAAAAUUAUCUCUAUCUAUAAUGAACUUGGCCCAUUAGUUUCAGUGGAAAAUGUUAGUAAAAAUUUACAAAUUUUAUGAAAAUUUUUAAAAAUUGACUAUAAAGAACAAUAACUCCUAAGGGGGUCAAUUGACCAUUUCGGUCAUGUUGACUUAUUUGUAAAUCUUACUUUGCUGAACAUUAUUGUUGUUUACAGUUUAUCUCUAUCAAUAAUAAUAUUCAAGAUAAUGACCAAAAACAG
RNAcentral lists this long non-coding RNA (392 nucleotides) under Mytilus galloprovincialis (Mediterranean mussel). The record is from RNAcentral. Lineage: Eukaryota; Metazoa; Mollusca; Bivalvia; Mytilida; Mytilidae.